RNAcentral lists this ribosomal RNA (322 nucleotides) under uncultured eukaryote. Its description in RNAcentral is "partial 18S ribosomal RNA". It matches the Rfam family "Eukaryotic small subunit ribosomal RNA", at positions 1470 to 1796 of the family's 1831-position model. The record is from RNAcentral.
CCCUUAGAUGUUCUGGGCCGCACGCGUGCUACACUGAGUGGAUCAGCGGGUCAGGUUGCGCGAAAGUGUUUCCUAAUCUUUAAAUCCGCUCGUGAUGGGGAUUGACGGUUGCAAUUUUCCGUCAUGAACGAGGAAUACCUUGUAAGCGCGGGUCAUCAUCCCGCGCUGAAUACGUCCCUGCCCUUUGUACACACCGCCCGUCGCUCCUACCGAUUGAGUGGUCCGGUGAGGCUUUGGGAUCUGAGCGGAAAGAGCGUUUCGCUGUUUCUGCCCGGAAAACUCAGUCGAACCUUAUCAUUUAGAGGAAGAAUAAGUCGUAACA